GAUGUCGCCUGAAAAGUUUUGCAUGGAAUAAUGGAAUAGGACUUCGGUUCUAUUUCGUUGGUUUUCGGAUCCGAAGUAAUGAUCAAAAGAGACAGGCGGGGACGUUUGUAUGGUUGCGCUAGAGGUGAAAUUCAUGGACCGUAACCAGACAAACUAAAGCGAAAGCAUUCGUCAAGCAUGUUUUCAUUGGCCAUGAGCGAAAGUCAGAGGCUCGAAGACGAUCAGAUACCGUCCUAGUUCUGACCAUAAACGAUGCCAACUGACGAUCCGUGGUGGUAGUAUUUUAACCAUCCCCACGGGCAGUCCCCGGGAAACCUUUAAGUCUUUGGGUUCCGGGGGAAGUAUGGUUGCAAAGCUGAAACUUAAAGGAAUUGACGGAAGGGCACCACCAGGAGUGGAGCCUGCGGCUUAAUUUGACUCAACACGGGAAAACUCACCCGGCCCGGACACUGUGAGGAUUGACAGAUUGAUAGC
Molecule: ribosomal RNA, 474 nt
Filed under: Schistocephalus solidus
Lineage: Eukaryota; Metazoa; Platyhelminthes; Cestoda; Diphyllobothriidea; Diphyllobothriidae
Description: SSU rRNA
Rfam family: Eukaryotic small subunit ribosomal RNA
Source: RNAcentral